RNAcentral lists this ribosomal RNA (497 nucleotides) under uncultured bacterium. RNAcentral's name for it is "partial 16S ribosomal RNA". It matches the Rfam family "Bacterial small subunit ribosomal RNA", at positions 28 to 507 of the family's 1533-position model. The record is from RNAcentral.
GAUGAACGCUGGCGGCGUGCCUAAUACAUGCAAGUCGAGCGAACGGACGAGAAGCUUGCUUUUCUGAUGUUAGCGGCGGACGGGUGAGUAACACGUGGAUAACCUACCUAUAAGACUGGGAUAACUUCGGGAAACCGGAGCUAAUACCGGAUAAUAUUUUGAACCGCAUGGUUCAAAAGUGAAAGACGGUCUUGCUGUCACUUAUAGAUGGAUCCGCGCUGCAUUAGCUAGUUGGUAAGGUAACGGCUUACCAAGGCAACGAUGCAUAGCCGACCUGAGAGGGUGAUCGGCCACACGGGAACUGAGACACGGUCCAGACUCCUACGGGAGGCAGCAGUAGGGAAUCUUCCGCGAUGGGCGAAAGCCUGACGGAGCAACGCCGCGUGAGUGAUGAAGGUCUUCGGAUCGUAAAACUCUGUUAUUAGGGAAGAACAUAUGUGUAAGUAACUGUGCACAUCUUGACGGUACCUAAUCAGAAAGCCACGGCUAACUACGUG